UUCAUAAUUUUUGCGCGCUGAACAAACUUCCUGAUUGACUGAAAGUGAAAGUAAAGUUCGUGUUCUCGUCUUCAGGUUUUUGUAAAACUGCUGUCGGUGACACGUAAACAGACAUGCAGGUUCAAGAGCUGCUCCUCGAAACCCUGGAAGAGCUGAUCGAUGAGGACUUAAAAACCUUUCAGUGGUACUGCACGAUGGGGAUCUUGGACAGCUGUAAACCAAUUCCUAAAUCGCGUCUGCACAAUGCGUCUCGGACAGUAACUGUGUCUAAGCUGACUGAGGCCUACAGUGAAGAGGCUGUGAGCGUCACUGUUGAGAUCCUGAAGAAGAUGCACAUGAACAGUUUAGCAGAGGAGUUAAGGAAGAAGUAUGGUGCUGCACCCUCCUCCUCCUCCUCUGCUCAGAGCCCCCCUACUGCUGCCGCUGCAGCUCCUGGAGCUCCUGGAGCCUCAAUGGUGGCUCAACAAGGAGCUGUGAUCUUCGCCCCGACGCUCAGCAGUGGCACCACUGGAUCAUGGAAUGUAACCAUCCACCAACCAAAAAAUAACUAGAACAGAACGUGCAUUAUAUGUUCUAAGUUGUUUUAUUUGUUUUUAACAAAAUACAAAUGCACGAUCCAAGUUGCAGGGAAACCUUUAAAUCCACAUGUGGGAGACCUUCAGAUCUGUUUGGUAACAUUUACAUUUUAGUUCUACCGUUUAGUUAGCAUUUCACAGAUAUUUGAUAAAUGCUUUACAACACAUUGUAAUGCAUUUAUAAGCAGACAUAAGGACAUUUUAAGUGUAUUUUUACUGUACAGAAUUUUCUAUAAUGUCUCUCAUGAAGACAUGGUUUACAUUUUUACUGGAACUGCUUUACUAUAUUUUCUGUUCAAACACUGGCCUUCACCGUUAGCUGACACUCUGGAGGAAAAGUUGUGAGGGCAUAAACAUUGAAAGCAUUUAUUCAGUAUUUACAUCAUACUGGCUACACGCUAAAUAUAGGAACUUAAUGUAAAGCAUUGCCAAUUUUUAUAUUUAACGUCGUCCACCUUGCUGGCAUCUGUCAGUGGACAAGUUAAAUCUGUUUGAAGGCUGCCUGGUGUGAUUUUUAAUAAAAACAGGUGUAGCAUCA
This is a long non-coding RNA of Acanthochromis polyacanthus (spiny chromis), 1113 nucleotides long. RefSeq lists it as uncharacterized. The transcript is spliced from 3 exons. NCBI's taxonomy places the organism in Eukaryota, Metazoa, Chordata, Actinopteri, Pomacentridae. The record is from RefSeq and is a predicted model, not a curated record.